CAUGGAAAGUUUCAUCUAUUUUUACUAUUAAAACUAGCAUGACUAAUAAAACAACCAACUAGUAACAUGUGGUAUGUCAUGUGUAUCUCAUGCUGACGUACAUGAAUUAGUUUUUAACAGUGAACAUAGAUAAAUUUUUGAACA
Non-coding RNA from Gossypium raimondii (Peruvian cotton), 144 nucleotides. Lineage: Eukaryota; Viridiplantae; Streptophyta; Magnoliopsida; Malvales; Malvaceae. The record is from Rfam.